AGGUAGAAGGUGGGUGGGUGGGUAAUUCUGUCACAGAUGAGUUGGUCCCCUGAACUUAGCUACCAGCUCAUGUCCAGGGGACCUUAGUAUCUGAGACCAAGACAUUUUACUACAGUCAUGUCUUUUGCAGGGAGCUAAGAUCACCAGGAAUCAUCUGCCAUUUCAGACCCUUUGCUGCUUCCUGCCAGGUGGCCCCCACUGCCAAGAAGAAAUGGUGGAUUUCCCAGUCUUGCCAGACUUCUCCCAGCAAGUACCUCUGUCCAACAAUCUCUUCUUAUUCACACAUCUCCUUCUUCUUCUUUGGCCUGGAGAGGUGAACUCAGAGGAGGUCAGUGUGGUAGGCCCUGGGGAAUCCAUCCUGGCACUUGUGGGGGAAGAAGUGGAGUUCUCAUGCCACUUGUCACCAUACCUGGAUGCUGAGGAUAUGGAGAUCCGCUGGUUCCGGAGUCGGACCUCUGAAGUGGUCCACCUGUACCAGGGGCGGCAGGAGCUCUACAGCCAGCAGAUGGUGCAGUUCCAGAACAGGACCAAACUCCUCAAAGAUGAUAUCAUGGAUGGUAGUGUAAACCUGCAACUCCUUGGCAUCAUUCCUGCUGAUGAGGGCCUGUAUGGGUGCCGUUUCCUCUCCAGCAACUUCUCUAGGGAAGCAGUCUGGGAGCUGGAGGUAGCAGGGAUGGGCUCAGACCCUCACAUCUCCCUUGAGGGCUUCAAGGAGGGAGGCAUUCAGCUGAAGUGCAGUUCCAGUGGCUGGUACCCCAAGCCCCAGGCUCAGUGGAAAGAUCAUAAAGGACAGUGCCUGCCUCCAAAGAUGGAAGCCAUAGUCCAGGAUGCCCAGGGCCUGUUCAAUCUGGAAACAUCUGUGAUUGUUCAAGGGGGUGCCCACAGUAAUGUGUCCUGCUCCAUCCAGAACUCUCUCCUGAUACAGAAGAAAGAGUUCACCAUCCAGAUAGCAGAUGCAUUUUUACCCGGAACCUCACCCUGGAAGAGAGCUUUCCUUGGGUCUCUGGUGGGACUGCCAUUCCUCCUGGCUUUUCUCUUGACGCUGGCGCUGUACUUCUUUCAGAAGCAACGUAGGUCCCAAGAAAAGUUGAAGGAGCAGGCUGAGAAGGACAAAGGUAAGCAGGGAAAGAGGCGCGCUCUUCCCGCACCCUUAACUAGCUGA
RNAcentral lists this long non-coding RNA (1162 nucleotides) under Felis catus (domestic cat). Its description in RNAcentral is "butyrophilin like 9 (ENSFCAG00000000991.6)". Lineage: Eukaryota; Metazoa; Chordata; Mammalia; Carnivora; Felidae. The record is from RNAcentral.